This 416-nucleotide ribosomal RNA is filed under the name uncultured microorganism. RNAcentral's name for it is "bacterial SSU rRNA". It matches the Rfam family "Bacterial small subunit ribosomal RNA", at positions 9 to 422 of the family's 1533-position model. The record is from RNAcentral.
GAGUUUGAUCCUGGCUCAGAUUGAACGCUGGCGGCAUGCCUUACACAUGCAAGUCGAACGGCAGCAUGAUCUAGCUUGCUAGAUUGAUGGCGAGUUGGCGAACGGGUGAGUAAUACAUCGGAACGUGCCCUGUAGUGGGGAUAACUAGUCGAAAGAUUAGCUAAUACCGCAUACGACCUGAGGGUGAAAGUGGGGGACCGCAGGGCCUCAUGCUAUAGGAGCGGCCGAUGUCUGAUUAGCUAGUUGGUGGGUAAAGGCCCACCAAGGCGACGAUCAGUAGCUGGUCUGAGAGGACGAUCAGCCACACUGGGACUGAGACACGGCCCAGGACUCCUACGGGAGGCAGCAGUGGGGAAUUUGGACAAUGGGCGAAAGCCUGAUCCAGCAAUGCCGCGUGUGUGAAGAAGGCCUGGUGU